AUUCCAGCUCCAGUAGCGUAUAUUAAAGCUGUUGCAGUUAAAAAGCUCGUAGUUGGAUCUUGGGCCCAGGCCUGCGGUCCGCCGUGAGGCGAGUACUGCAGUCCUGGCCUUCCUCUCGGUUUUCGCCCGGUGCUCUUAACUGAGUGCCAGGAGAGGCCGGAACGUUUACUUUGAAAAAAUUGGAGUGUUCAAAGCAGGCCUCGCGCCUGAACAGCAGAGCAUGGAAUAAUGGAAUAGGACCUCGGUUCUAUUGCGUUGGUUUUCGGAACUCGAGGUAAUGAUUAAGAGGGACUGACGGGGGCAUUCGUAUUGCGGUGUGAGAGGUGAAAUUCUUGGAUCGCCGCAAGACGACCGACUGCGAAAGCAUUUGCCAAGAAUGUUUUCAUCA
Molecule: ribosomal RNA, 388 nt
Filed under: Echinodermata sp.
Lineage: Eukaryota; Metazoa; Echinodermata
Description: partial small subunit ribosomal RNA
Rfam family: Eukaryotic small subunit ribosomal RNA
Source: RNAcentral